This 193-nucleotide ribosomal RNA is filed under the name uncultured Neochlamydia sp. RNAcentral describes it as "partial 16S ribosomal RNA". It matches the Rfam family "Bacterial small subunit ribosomal RNA", at positions 337 to 522 of the family's 1533-position model. Lineage: Bacteria; Pseudomonadati; Chlamydiota; Chlamydiia; Parachlamydiales; Parachlamydiaceae. The record is from RNAcentral.
GCCUACGGGAGGCAGCAGUCGAGAAUCUUUCGCAAUGGACGAAAGUCUGACGAAGCGACGCCGUGUGAGCGAAGAAGGCCUUCGGGUUGUAAAGCUCUUUCGCUAGGGAACAAGAGAAAGUGAUGAAUAAUCAUUUGAUUUGAGGGUACCUGGUAAAGAAGCACCGGCUAACUCCGUGCCAGCAGCCGCGGUC